Small nuclear RNA from Ictalurus punctatus (channel catfish), 162 nucleotides. Its record names the gene U1. It matches the Rfam family "U1 spliceosomal RNA". Rfam says of the family: U1 is a small nuclear RNA (snRNA) component of the spliceosome (involved in pre-mRNA splicing). Lineage: Eukaryota; Metazoa; Chordata; Actinopteri; Siluriformes; Ictaluridae. The record is from Ensembl.
AUACUUACCUGGCAGGGGCAAUACCAUGAUCAAGAAGGUUGUUUGCCCAAAGCAAGGCAGCUAUUGCACUCAGGCUAUGCUGACCUUUGCGAAUUCCCCAAAUGUGUGAAUCUCGUCUGCAUAAUUUCUGAUAGUGGGGGACUGUGUUUGCACUCUCUCCUG